AGUCAGUCUGGGUUUCUUAAUCUCUCCUGAAGGACUCUUCAUGCAGAAUGAUGACUGCUCCUGCUGUUUGAUCCAUUUAGGACAAAAACAUCCGGACAGAUAAAAACUGUUGGGUUAUUACUGUGCAGAGGAGAAGGGGCACCAACAACAGGGGGCGGAGGUUCAACUGAAACUUUCUCAGGAGGACCCAGAGGAUGCUGUACGCAGAGCAGCAGAGGCAUGUGCUCUCUCGUUGUCCAUUUUUGCAAUAAGGUUUUUGACCUGUACUAAUUUAUGGAGGCAGUGGUGAACUGUGUUUGUGAAAAGAUUCUGUAUGACGGUAAUUCGUUUGUGGCUCUGCUGGGGUUUUGCUUUGAUAGUGGCCUCAGAACAGUGUGACAUUUCAUGCAAGAGUGUACAGUACAGGCCAAAAGUUUGGACACACCUUCUCAUUCAAUGCAUUUCCUUUCUUCUCAUUACUAUUUAACUAUUUAAAUUGUAGAUUAUCAGUGAAAGCAUCAAAACUAUGAAUGAACACAUGUGGAAUCAUGUGCUUAAGAAAAAAGUGUGAAAUAACUGAAAACAUGUUUUAUAUUUUAGAUUCCUUAAAGUAUCCACCUUUUGCUUUUUUGAUAGUGCUGCAAACUUUUGCUGUUCUCUCAAUGAGCUUCAUGAGGUAGUCACCUGAAAUGGUUUUUACUUCACAGGUGUGCCUUGUCAGGGUUACUUUGUGACUGAAGUACUUCUGUCAUCAAGAGCAAAGGGUGGCUACUUUAAAGAAACUAGAAUAUAAAACAUGUUUUCAGUUAUUUCACACUUUUUUUAUAAGUACAAAGUUCCACACGUGUUCAUUCAUAGUUUUCAUGCCUUCAGUGAUAAUCUACAAUGUAAAUAGUCAUAUAAAAAAAUUAAGAAAAGACAUUGAAUGAGAGGGUGUGUCCAAACUUUUGGCCUGUGCUGUAUAUAGAAUCAUAUAGAACUCAAAGUUUGUCACUCUGUGCUGACCAGGCCCUCAGGUAAAAAGUCACAGUUUUUGGCACACGUAAAGACCAACAUGUCAAGAUAAUCUUGAGCAAAAAUGAUGAUAUGUUCAAUGGUCUUAGAGUCACAACUGAUAGAGUUAAGCAUGAUAUUUCCUUCACCACUGGGUGGCGCUGUGACUGAGAUGAAAUAUUACCAUAUAAAUGUGUUCAGGCUUGGACCCUUAUCACGUGUGGUGCAUUUGGCAGAGAUUGGAGCAUGCAUGGCUGUCAUAAAAACUACUUCCUGUUUCAUGGCGAAACAGCUAUCUUUGAGGGCUUGCCAUAGCCACAUCACUGACGAGGCUUAAAGCUCAAAGCAACUUUUAAUCUUCAAUCUGUCCAUAACACACAAAUUUGGAGUUGAUUGCAUAAAAGCCCUUGGAUGAGUUAGUUUAAACAUAGACCCUGAAAAUCACUAUAAACAGGAAAAAAAAACUUCAACAUUCAACUUAAAUUUGCUGAAAAAAACCCAACAUUAUUUUGGCUGAAAGAGUAACAAUAGUUCCUUGCAUUCCAGUGGUGCACUCUCACCCUUGGGGCCUGACCUGAAAUAUCCAAGGGCUGUAGAGGACAUUGGAAAUGAAGUACCAGUCUUCCUCAGUAUUGAGCUGGCUGUCAGGAUGGAUUUAUAAAUGAUUAGGAUCAACAGCAGACAGGAAACCUCUGACACUGAAUUAGGCCCUGUAGGUCUGUGCAGCAGGAGCCUGAUGGAAGCUGGAGUGUACGAUCCUCUGCUCUCCACGGCUGGAGGUCUGGUGAUGCUGUGAAGCAGAGCUGCAGCUGCACAGCACAAGAGAGUCUGUUUUUCCCGGAUCCCCACAGACCAGACAAUUUUCUGUCCCAGAUAUGUCCCUCUGUCUGUGAGGCUCCACUUGGGUGGUAGAGAGAGAGGCCUGGAAAACAAAAUGUGUAGUACGAAAGAUUCUGUGGAAGAGCACGAUGUUGGGGAAAAGAAGAGGGG
RNAcentral lists this long non-coding RNA (1962 nucleotides) under Xyrichtys novacula (pearly razorfish). Lineage: Eukaryota; Metazoa; Chordata; Actinopteri; Labriformes; Labridae. The record is from RNAcentral.